GCUGCGCACUUCGGUCUUUUACGUCGGCCUUCGCGAGCGUCUGGGCGGGUGGUAGGAACAAUGGCGCUGUCUUCAGUGGCACAGUGGAGCAGCUCUGAAGAUGCAAAGAUACACGAAAAAACUUCCAGAACAUCUGGGAGAAUAUUUAAUGGAAAAUCGCUUGGUUAAAACCUGACACUUUUAACAGGUAUGUGUUGUUUUAGUACUUUAUGAUUGAGCAUAGCAUUUAAUCCACACCUAGACUAAAUCAAAUUUUUUUUGUCAGUGAACAGCGUUCUGAGUGUGGACGAGUAGCCAGUGAAGAUAAUGAAUGUCGAAUGUGACUGACUAGCAGCUUCAUUUUGAAUGAGGGUCGCUGUCUGCCCAUUGAUAGAGGCCAGAUUGUCUUGGAAGUUCCAAAGUUGCAACGAUUUCUGGCUAGUGCCACGAGGUUUACUUGACUGUUGUGUGAAAAGCUGAUAAGAAAACCAUCCAGAAAAAAGCUCUUCGUUUUACAAACAUGAAAAUAAAACAUGUAAUUUUGGAUUAUGUUCCUUUUUGUUAUUACUUUUAAAUAGGUCCUGAAAUAACAUGGGGAGCAUUAAAUGGAAAAUCCACUAA
This 600-nucleotide long non-coding RNA is filed under the name Homo sapiens (human). RNAcentral describes it as "small nucleolar RNA host gene 5". The record is from RNAcentral. Lineage: Eukaryota; Metazoa; Chordata; Mammalia; Primates; Hominidae.